Molecule: long non-coding RNA, 1076 nt
Filed under: Vulpes vulpes (red fox)
Lineage: Eukaryota; Metazoa; Chordata; Mammalia; Carnivora; Canidae
Description: lncRNA (ENSVVUG00000003832.1)
Source: RNAcentral
AAAAAAUCAUGUGGUUACAUGUUUCUGAUUCAUCAUAGUCUUCUACAACAACCAAUGAUUUCAAGUGUUGAUUAAAUGUAUCAUGAUAUCUUAAACAAUCUGUGUAUUUUUACAUAGAGAUUUUUUGCUAAUUUUUUACUAAUUAUUUUUAUUUUUUGCUACAUACGAAUAAAUCCUGUGGUAAGAAAUUUUAUGACCAAACAGCUACACAUGAUCAUGUCCCGAAGAUCUAUCUUAAGAAGGAGGACUGUUGUGUUACAGGAAAUGUGCUUUCUGAAGACUUCUGGCUUCACGUUCCCUGAUUGUCUUCAGAAAGGCUGAAUCAGUUACAAUUUCACCAGCAAGAAUGAGGAGCACCGACUUCCUCAUGGCCUCACGAGGUACUAUUAUAUUUUAAACAAGCAAGCAAACAAACAACUUUACUAAUCAGUAUUUUUUUAAGUGAUGCCUUCUUCAUUCAUUCUGCUUAUCUUACGUCACUGGUGACAUUCAAUCAACUUUUCGUAUUUCCUUACAGCAGUGAUUCUCAUACACCGGACUACAUUGUAAUGAUGCUGCAUUAGAAUACAUAGGGACCUAUCUGCCUAAAACACAUACUGCUGGGGAGUCUGAUUAACUGAGUGGUCCUGAUAUGAGGCCAGCUUGUGGACAGUGAUUGUGAUGUCAGCCCAUCUGGGGAAAGAAGUCAGCCAACUUUAGAAAUGACAACUGUGAAUGAGAUAAAAUGGCCAAUGGCAUAAAGCCUCUCCCCAUUCACGCUGACCUCCCAGCCCUGCUCCCCACCUGCUGCUGGCCUAGAGAAGAAAGCCAUUUCCAUUGGCCUUGGCUGCCUGGGGAGAUCUAUAUUGCUCUGGGGAAGACAAGAGCUGUCCCCAUCUUGGUAAAGUGUGAAAUUCGGUUUUGAUUGCAAAAGGAAGCCAUUUCAACAGGAUUACACCGUGACCAUGUAGAUUGAACUCAGCCAUAUGGCCUAGGAUGCUUCUUCCUACUGCCAGGUAACAGUGCAUUGCUAAUGACGUGGUGGCGACAUUUCCAAAUGAAAAAAUAAAGCCACCUGGACUGGAAUAAAGGAGGCA